Syngnathus typhle (broad-nosed pipefish) is the source of this 1764-nucleotide long non-coding RNA. RefSeq lists it as uncharacterized. NCBI's taxonomy places the organism in Eukaryota, Metazoa, Chordata, Actinopteri, Syngnathiformes, Syngnathidae. The transcript is spliced from 3 exons. The record is from RefSeq and is a predicted model, not a curated record.
CUGAAUUUCUGGACCUCAUCGCUGAUGUUCUCCUUGACCACGGCGUACAGUGGAACCCCAAGCUGGUCCAGCUGGGGCUUCAGAGAGGACAGCUCUGCAGCUUCCUGGAUGACAGCGUGUUAAGCUUCCAUCAUGCUAAGUGAUGUGCGGGUGCCGAAUUGACCUGUGGCGUUACCGUAACGCGUUAGCAACCAAAAUGUAUUUCACCAACCUCUUCCGAGUCUUGAACAACUGGUGUUGAAUUUGAAUCAGGGGUCACCUCUUCAGUUUUCGCCAACUGGUUGUCAACCGCCGGGACUGGGUUGGACUCAGUUGGUUGAACCUGUGGGGCCUCAACCUGCGGAGCCUCGGCCUGCGUAGGCGCCUCCAACUUUGACUCCACCUGCAUAGACUCGGACUUAGCACACUCAACUUGAGAGGACUCAGCCUCUGUGGACUCCACAAUUGGAUUCUGGACCUGCGUAGACUCCAGUAUUAAGGAGUCCACCAGUGCAGACUCUGAGGUCUCAAUGUGUUGGGAUUCAAUGUCAGAGACUUCAGCUUCAAAGGACUCGGAAAUGGCGGUCUCAGACUGAGCUAGGUCCACCGUUGGAGAUUCCAUCUCUGCAGACUUGGGAUGAGAGGUCUCAGCUUGUUCAGAUUCCAUGUGGGAGACUUUAGCUUGAAAGGUCUCAGCCUGCACAGAGUCCACCAGUGUGGACUCCUUCUGCAUGGACUCGCCCUGUGUAGACUGCACCCGGGGGCUCUGAACUUGGCUGAAUUCACCCGGAGUGGACUCUGCUUGCGCAGAUGCUCCGGAUGUGAGCUCCACCUGGGCAGACUCAACCUGGGAGGUCUCAGCUUGUGCAGAGUCUGGGUAGUAGCUCUCAGCUAGAGAAGAUUCCGAUUGCAUGGACUCCACCUGCCCAGAUUGCACCCGGGGGCUCUGAACUCUGAAUUCAACCGGAAUGGACUCUGCCUGUGCAGAUGCCUCUGGUGUGAACUCCACCUGUGCAGACUCAACCUGGGAAGUCUCAGCUUUUGCAGAGUCUGAGUAGUAGCUCUCAGCUGGAGAAGAUUCCGAUUGCAUGGACUUGGCCUGCACAGACUCCCCUGGCGUGGACCCCAAAUGCACAUCCUCUGCCUGGGAGCUCUCAACUUGUGUUGACUCCACAUUGGAGGACUUGUCUGGGACAUCUGCUUGGUAGGUCUCAGCCUGGAUGGAUUCUAUAGACUCUGCCUGGGACGUAUCAACCUGCCAGGACUCCCCCUGCUUAGCUUCUCCUUCCAUGGACUUAACUUGGGUGGAUUUCAUUUCUGCAGACUCAUAUGGCUCAGACUCUAUCUGUGAAGACUCUGUAUGAGAGGUCCCAGCUGGUGUGGUUUCAAUCUGGGAUGAGGAUUCCAUCAUUGCAGAUUCAGCAUUCUCGUCCUUCUGGUGAAAAGGUGUCAGGAGAAUUCUCUGGGUUCUCCACUCAACUGAAUAUAACCAUUCUUGAACUCACCACGUUCUCCUCUCGGGAUUUCUCCACUUCGGGCUGGUCCUGCUGAAUGAUGCCGGUCGGCGGAGAGACAACUGGAGCAGUUACGUUAUUAGUCGUCUUCACCUGGUGGACAAAUGAACACGUGUCUCUCCGCAAGAUGGAUCCCAAACCAGCUAAGGUCUCUCUUUCUUCCCCCAUACAUAGCACACCCUAACCCCAUGCUCAUAGGUCAACACACUUUGCAUGCACAUGCAGAAGAACCACCACCAAACACGUUUUGAAGUUGUUGUUUUUUCACCUC